ACGGAAGGCAGCAGUGGGGAAUAUUGCACAAUGGGGGAAACCCUGAUGCAGCAACGCCGCGUGAGUGAUGACGGUCUUCGGAUUGUAAAGCUCUGUCUUUAGGGACGAUAAUGACGGUACCUAAGGAGGAAGCCACGGCUAACUGCGUGCCAGCAGCCGCGGUAAUACGUAGGUGGCAAGCGUUGUCCGGAUUUACUGGGCGUAAAGGGAGCGUAGGUGGAUAUUUAAGUGGGAUGUGAAAUACCCGGGCUUAACCUGGGUGCUGCAUUCCAAACUGGAUAUCUAGAGUGCAGGAGAGGAAAGGAGAAUUCCUAGUGUAGCGGUGAAAUGCGUAGGGAUUAGGAAGAAUACCAGUGGCGAAGGCGCCUUUCUGGACUGUAACUGACACUGAGGCUCGAAAGCGUGGGGAGCAAACAGGAUUAGAUACCCUGGUA
This 434-nucleotide ribosomal RNA is filed under the name uncultured Clostridium sp. Its description in RNAcentral is "partial 16S ribosomal RNA". It matches the Rfam family "Bacterial small subunit ribosomal RNA", at positions 341 to 792 of the family's 1533-position model. Lineage: Bacteria; Bacillati; Bacillota; Clostridia; Eubacteriales; Clostridiaceae. The record is from RNAcentral.